RNAcentral lists this ribosomal RNA (484 nucleotides) under uncultured bacterium. Its description in RNAcentral is "bacterial SSU rRNA". It matches the Rfam family "Bacterial small subunit ribosomal RNA", at positions 28 to 507 of the family's 1533-position model. The record is from RNAcentral.
GAUGAACGCUAGCGGCAGGCCUAAUACAUGCAGGCCGGACGGCAACCCUGCCAGCAAUGGCAGGGCUAGAGUGGCGCAAGGGUGCGUAACACGUAUGCAACCUGCCCACAGCUUGGGGAUAGCCCCCCGAAAGGGGGAUUAACACCCGAUGGUAACUCAGGGCGGCAUCGCGUUGAGUUUAAGCCACGGGGCUGUGGAUGGGCAUGCGUCCGAUUAGCUAGUUGGCGGGGUAACGGCCCACCAAGGCGAUGAUCGGUAGGGGUUCUGAGAGGAAGGUCCCCCACACUGGCACUGAGACACGGGCCAGACUCCUACGGGAGGCAGCAGUAGGGAAUAUUGGACAAUGGGCGCAAGCCUGAUCCAGCCAUGCCGCGUGCAGGAAGAAGGCCUUCUGGGUACGUAAACUGUCUUUUGGCCGGGGGAUAAAAAGGUCCUGCGGGGCAAAUUGAAGGUACCCGGUGAAUAAGCCACGGCUAACUACGUG